CUAUGCAACUAUAUUCAACCGGCGUCAAUUAACCAUUAAGCGCCUACUGUGUAUCAAGCUCUACGUUCAAUACACACUUUCUUUCAGCACUAGACAGUCCAGCCCUCAACCAUGCAGUACUUACAACAUAAAAAGGAGUUUAGGGAUCACCUACUAAAAAAAUCAUUCUACUAAUAGACGUUGAACUCCUAAAUGUUCAAGAUUUAUUCCUUCCCAACAAUGGUGGAAGAUAAGAGUUAAGCUUACCUAUAUUUCAUAAGCACUAAUUUGUAUGCAGAUGUUUUGGGAAACUUUAUUUUUCAAACAUCUAGAUGUUGCAUUUAGUAUUACCCCAGAACUAAAUCUUUGCUCAAUAACAACUUCUGUUUUUCAGAUAGUGAAAAGAUACACGAUCAAAUUGUUGUAACUGCCCUACCAUAAUCCCUAGACCUGCUCGACCUAUUUUCCGAGGGGAGUGGCAAUGUCUUAAAGAAACUGCCUUGAGAAUGUUGAAGAAACCCUGGAGAGAUUAACAAUCCAAAUGAUCACAGAGAAUAGUUUUGGAUCCCCUACGUUUGCACAGAGGAAGAGAGAUAUGAAUGCCCUUCAACAGAGAUGAAAAUAAAACAUAUAAUUUGGUUGCAGGGAAGACAUUAGAAAGACACACUCCUGUGUAUAGCCAUACCACCCUGAAUGCAACCAGUCGCGUCUGAUCUUGUCAGCUAAGCAGAGUUGAGCCUGGUUAGUACUUGGAUGGGAGAAAGACACACUUAUGCUGACCUGGAAGAAGAGCAAUAAUCAUAUUGUGAACUGUCUAUGGGGGCCACAUAGCGGAGAACUGCCGGUAGCCUCUAGGAGCUGAGAGCAAGCAGUCCUUGACCAACAGUCAGCAAGAAAACAAUAACUUCAAUCACGCUGCUUCGAGGAACUGAAUUCUGCCAAAAGCUGAAUGAACUUGGAAUCAGGUUCUUCCUCAGCAUCUCCAGACAGAAAAUCAGCCCAGAUAACACCUUGAUUUUAGCACUGUGGGACCCUAAGCAGAAAGCUCAGCCAUGGCAUGCCUCGGCUUGUGUCCUACAGAACUGUGAACUAAUAAAUGAUUUUUUUAAAGCAAUUACAUUUGUGGUAAUUUGUUAUGUUUCAGUAGAAACUACACACUAGUGCAGUGCCUGGUACAUAAUAAAAUAUUGGCUGGUCAGUUAUUGGUUGGUUGAUUCGAAUUAAUGAAUGAGAGUAUGGAAGGAAGGACAGAGUAAAAAGAAAGAGAGGAGGAUGAAAGAAAUACGCUAUUUAGAAAAAAAGGUUUGUAUUUUGGCCCAUUCAUACAAAUGAAUUUUGAGAGAAUGAGGGGACAUUUUCUUGGAAUGAUUGAUUGGGCUUUCUAGCUGAAGAAAUGUGGCAGACCUAUUAUGCCUGUUUAGAUCAGCUUUUUCUGCUCAUGUUUCCUAACUUCCAUUCCAUUUCUCAUCCCUAAUCAUUCCUUGACCCUGUUGUCAUCCUUACCCUGACUCCAAAUUGUCUGGUUAAAAAGAAAAACAUAGCCCUAACAGCUGUCAGCUAGUAGCUGGCCUAGUUGCUACCAGCUAGGCCACAGUGUUUUCCUGUUGAAUAUAAACAGCUUCACAUUAGUUCAGCAUCAGGUGAGAACUCACCAUAAUUAUAAAGUAAACAAAAAAGACCACUCCGUAAACUUGCCUGAACACAGUUCAAAACAAAGAGACCGUGCAACCACAAAACAACCAAACAUCUUCCAAAGAAAAUGCAUGACAACUGCUUCCUUUCCAAUGUCAACUCUAGCUCUGCUCUAUCCCUCCUGCCCCUUAAAUAAAAAAUAUUAAGAUACCCAUUCACCUAAUUGGCCUGCUUUCUGACAGAUCCCAAUCCAGACCCCUGCUUCUUUGAAUCCUCCCCCAAAUCACUUAACACAAGCACAAAUCUUAAAGUAAGCUCCUCCUAACUCCCUCUUUAAAAGACAAUUUAUGG
Molecule: long non-coding RNA, 1962 nt
Organism: Symphalangus syndactylus (siamang)
Lineage: Eukaryota; Metazoa; Chordata; Mammalia; Primates; Hylobatidae
Source: RefSeq, a predicted model, not a curated record